This 214-nucleotide long non-coding RNA is filed under the name Homo sapiens (human). Its description in RNAcentral is "HSALNT0267247". Lineage: Eukaryota; Metazoa; Chordata; Mammalia; Primates; Hominidae. The record is from RNAcentral.
UCCUCCCAAGGUGCAGGAAUCUACUUGAAUUGCAGAAGACUUUGGAGAAGAUCAAACUCAUGCCUGGGCCGUUUGAUGGCUGGGUUGGCAAACUAGAGCAGCUGCAGGAUUGUGUCAGGGAGAGUGAUCUUCAGGCACACACUUCUGCAGAAGAGAGCAGCUGAGCCUGGCACGAACCCUCGGAGUCAGUCAUCUCCCAUCGACCUGUUAUCGA